GAACGUGGCAAGCGUUGUUCGGAUUUACUGGGCGUACAGGGAGCGUAGGCGGUUCGGUAAGCCCUCUGUGAAAUCUCCAGGCUUAACCUGGAACAGUCGGAGGGGACUGCUGGGCUAGAGGACGGGAGAGGAGCGCGGAAUUCCCGGUGUAGCGGUGAAAUGCGUAGAGAUCGGGAGGAAGGCCGGUGGCGAAGGCGGCGCUCUGGAACGUUUCUGACGCUGAGGCUCGAAAGCGUGGGGAGCAAACAGGAUUAGAUACCCUGGUAGUCCACGCCUUAAACUAUGAAUACUAAGUGUCGGCGGUUUACCGCCGGUGCCGCAGCUAACGCAUUAAGUAUUCCGCCUGGGAAGUACGGCCGCAAGGUUG
RNAcentral lists this ribosomal RNA (367 nucleotides) under uncultured bacterium. RNAcentral's name for it is "bacterial SSU rRNA". It matches the Rfam family "Bacterial small subunit ribosomal RNA", at positions 527 to 896 of the family's 1533-position model. The record is from RNAcentral.